This 463-nucleotide ribosomal RNA is filed under the name uncultured bacterium. Its description in RNAcentral is "partial 16S ribosomal RNA". It matches the Rfam family "Bacterial small subunit ribosomal RNA", at positions 28 to 507 of the family's 1533-position model. The record is from RNAcentral.
GACGAACGCUGGCGGCGUGCUUAACACAUGCAAGUCGAGCGGUGAACCUCUUCGGAGGGGAUCAGUGGCGAACGGGUGAGUAACACGUGGGCAACCUGCCCCCGGCUCUGGGAUAACUCCAAGAAAUUGGGGCUAAUACCGGAUGUUCACCGCUUCCCGCAUGGGUGGUGGUGGAAAGGGUUUCCGGCUGGGGAUGGGCCCGCGGCCUAUCAGCUUGUUGGUGGGGUAGUGGCCUACCAAGGCGACGACGGGUAGCCGGCCUGAGAGGGUGACCGGCCACACUGGGACUGAGACACGGCCCAGACUCCUACGGGAGGCAGCAGUGGGGAAUAUUGCGCAAUGGGCGGAAGCCUGACGCAGCGACGCCGCGUGGGGGGUGACGGCCUUCGGGUUGUAAACCUCUUUCAGCAGGGACGAAGCGCAAGUGACGGUACCUGCAGAAGAAGCACCGGCCAACUACGUG